RNAcentral lists this long non-coding RNA (1081 nucleotides) under Ananas comosus (pineapple). RNAcentral describes it as "long non-coding RNA (ACOM_LNC022885)". Lineage: Eukaryota; Viridiplantae; Streptophyta; Magnoliopsida; Poales; Bromeliaceae. The record is from RNAcentral.
UUUCCAUCCCUAUUUAAUUUUUUUAAAAAAUAAAUUUAAAAAUUUAUAAUUUGUAAACUUAAAAUGAAAAUUUUAUAACUUUAAAUUUUAAAUUUUAAAUUCAUAUUUUAAUUUUUUUAAAUUUAAAUUUUGAUAUUUUAGAUUUAUAAAGUUAGAUUUAAUUUAAAAUUUAAAAUUUAAAAAUUUAAAAUUGAGAAUUUUAAAUUUUUGAAUAUGAGAUUUAAAAAUUUUAAUUUUAAUUUUAAUUUUUUAAAAUUUAAAAGUUAUAUAUUUAAAUUUAAAAAAUUUAAAUAUAAAAUUUAUAUAUUUAAAUUUAAAUAUAAUAUAAGGGGCAAUAUCAUUUUUUUCUAUUUAUAACUAUCUAUCUUUCUUCUUAUUCCACUUAUCCAACCAAUCACUAUUUUGCUUAUUUCCGGUAACAACUCAAUUUUCAUCCAAAUGUAAUAUUGAUCUAAUUUCUGUUUAUUCUUAAACUUAUAUAUAUUUUCGGAACAGACAGUUCUUACUUAAUUAUACAUGAGUGAAACGAAGCCAGAGUAUGCAAGGCAUGAUAUUGGAAAUAAUAGCAUUUUUUGUAAGGAUGAUUGUGCAUGUACUCAUUGUAUGACUGCUGGAGUCAAUUUGCAUUAUUGCACUUGCAAUAACACUUACUGCUUCAAAGACAAAAUAGUGUAACAUUGUAACUUUUGUGAAAUUUACUAUUUAGCUGAAUUAAAGAAAAUUCUCCUAUAAAUAUUAAUUUUUUUACUUUCCAUUAUUAACUUUUAAAAUUUUAUAUUUUAUUCGCUCUACAUUUCAAAUUGUUAUAUUUAGCCUUACUCGGUCAGAGUUCCAUCAUUAUUUCAUCCAUUUUUUAUAAUUUAUAUUAAAAGUAUCCUUCAAAAUAAUAAAAAAUUUUAAAAGUUAUUUUUUUAUUAAAAAAAUAAAGAUAAUUUGAUCAUUUUGUCUUCUCUAUUAACACUUUACUCUCCUGAAAAUAUUUUUAAAAUUUUAAAGAGGCAAAAUAUAAAUUUUUGAAAGUUAAAAGGAUACAGUAAACAAGCGGAUAUUUAAAAGAAGAUUUUUUAUAAUUUAAUUUUAU